GCCAGCGCUCUGGGGUCGAGUCCUGGAGUUUGUAGGUGGCUCCCGGCUGCCCGAGCGGGUGUGGGGAGGAGCCCAGGGUGGGGCGGGCUGCCGGCAGCAGGACCGCUGCUCAUCGUGCUUUGGGCGUCUUUCUGGGUUCCCACGGUUUUCACCGCCCGUGACCUACCGAGCCCACCCCAACCGCCCCCAUCCUCCGCUAACUCUUUGGGUGAGUGGGGUGGACUUGGAGGAACCGGGCCAUAAAGCAGCCCUGGUAAAAAGCCCACCCGAUUUUUAGAAACAGAUUUUUUAUUUUUUGAGACAGGGUUUUGCUCUGUUGUCCAGGCUGGAGUGCAGUGGUGCGAUUUCGGCUCACUGCAACCUCCGUCUUCUGGGCUCAAGCCAGUUUCCUGCUUCAGCCUCCCGAGUAGCUGGAACUACAGGUGCAGCCACCACACCUGGCUAAUUUUUGUGUUUUUGGUAAAGAUGGUCUGUGUUGGCCAGGCUGUUCUCAAACUCCUAAGCUCCAGUGAUCUGCUGGCCUCGGUCUCCCAAAAUGUUGGGAUUACUGGCGUGAGCCACUGCACCGGCCCAGAAACAGAAUUUUGACGGUGGAACUUAAAACACUUCCCCGCACUUCCUAAAAUUAGAUUCAUUUGGCAACUGGAGAAAGACAAACGUAAAAGACACUCUGUUUCAGAAAAGGAAGUUGUAGAGCCCUUUAAAAAAAAUGUCUGAAAGUUCAAUUUAGAUAGUAUGUCAACAUGUUAGAAAUGAAAGGUACAGUGCAGAGUGCCGCCCCUCUUCGCUGCCUGGUACAGAAAAAAUAUUCAGUAUUUGUUGGAUGGAUGAAAUUGUACGUAAAGGAAGAGGGGAAAAGUGAGCUUAACUCUGGCCUUCAAGCCACACCCUGAUGUUGAAAGUCUCAUGGGCACAAGUCUCUCCAUUGUCAACAGCUAUACUUUGGUGGAGUACCUUGCUUGGAGAAGAGAGAGCUGGAGAGUCAUGUGACAUGAGGGGCUCUACGAUAAGAAUGGAGAUACAUUCAUGAGGAAAAAAGGAUCUACAGGAACAGAGCCAUGUGUCUGGGGAUGUCCCUCACCUAUCCACUCAUCUAUCCCAGGGUCCAUGCCAGCAGCCAUCUAGUCUACCACAGACGGGGUCGGCUCUGCACAUCAUUUUAGAAAGACCAUCUAUUUAGGGAACUCCAAAGCCACAUCCUGAAUUUUGGUAAUUGUGUAAAAGCCAGUUUCCUCCUCAUCGCCUAUACUAAAAAGCACUUUUCACAAGGGGAGUGGUUUUCUUCUGUUCACUGGGGUAUGGGGAAAUGCUGGGUACCAAAAGGUAGAGUACCUAGAGAGGGGCUGGUGAGAAAAGGGGGAAGACAGUUUCAGGGCUUCUAAGGCAGAGGUAUGG
Molecule: long non-coding RNA, 1395 nt
Organism: Gorilla gorilla gorilla (western lowland gorilla)
Lineage: Eukaryota; Metazoa; Chordata; Mammalia; Primates; Hominidae
Exons: 3
Source: RefSeq, a predicted model, not a curated record